RNAcentral lists this ribosomal RNA (482 nucleotides) under uncultured bacterium. Its description in RNAcentral is "partial 16S ribosomal RNA". It matches the Rfam family "Bacterial small subunit ribosomal RNA", at positions 30 to 507 of the family's 1533-position model. The record is from RNAcentral.
AUUGAACGCUGGCGGCAUGCCUUACACAUGCAAGUCGAACGGUAACGGGCCUUCGGGUGCCGACGAGUGGCGAACGGGUGAGUAAUACAUCGGAACGUGCCCGAUCGUGGGGGAUAACGAGGCGAAAGCUUUGCUAAUACCGCAUACGAUCUACGGAUGAAAGCAGGGGACCGCAAGGCCUUGCGCGGACGGAGCGGCCGAUGGCAGAUUAGGUAGUUGGUGGGAUAAAAGCUUCCCAAGCCGACGAUCUGUAGCUGGUCUGAGAGGAUGAUCAGCCACACUGGGACUGAGACACGGCCCAGACUCCUACGGGAGGCAGCAGUGGGGAAUUUUGGACAAUGGGCGCAAGCCUGAUCCAGCCAUGCCGCGUGCAGGAUGAAGGCCUUCGGGUUGUAAACUGCUUUUGUACGGAACGAAAAGCCUUCUUUUAAUACAGGAGGGUCAUGACGGUACCGUAAGAAUAAGCACCGGCUAACUACGUG